This 20-nucleotide microRNA is filed under the name Picea abies (Norway spruce). Its description in RNAcentral is "pab-miR3711". Lineage: Eukaryota; Viridiplantae; Streptophyta; Pinopsida; Pinales; Pinaceae. The record is from miRBase by way of RNAcentral.
UGGCGCUAGAAGGAGGGCCU